This 712-nucleotide long non-coding RNA is filed under the name Anser brachyrhynchus (Pink-footed goose). RNAcentral describes it as "lncRNA (ENSABRG00000010061.1)". The record is from RNAcentral. Lineage: Eukaryota; Metazoa; Chordata; Aves; Anseriformes; Anatidae.
AUUCAAUGAAGCCUUUCAGCUGCUGUUUAGAGUUAAGCACAUGAAUAAACUUCCAUUUGAAGACAAUAGGACUAAAUAGCUUACAAGACAAUAUACAUUUAAGUGUUUUUGUAAAUUAAGCUGUAAUUGUUCAGCAGUCUUGUGGGAUUUUUCUUUUCUUUUUUUUUUUUUUUUUUUCCCUUUUUUUUUUUUUUAAAGGAAAAAAAAUCCAGCCAGCUCAUCUCUGUAUUUAAGACUACAUUUCUGGUUACCCGCUGGUAGCAAGGCUGUUAUUUUCGAAAACUACUGAUGGAUUCUUUUCGACCAAGUGUUUAUUAAGAUAACAAUUAUUUAAAACCCCACCUCACCACAUCCCCAAGCCACACCCGGAUCUUUCUGUGUGCAGAAUUUAGCAAACAAGGGUGUUACGAGCUGUGAGCUCCAACAGCACUAGGCAACAUUGAACUGCAGCAAACUCAACAACUUUGUUAUCCUAAAUAUUAGCACUACCGAUGAACCUUUACUCUGUUUCAAUAGACACAUAAUUAAUUCAUUUACAAGACCUGCAGGAGGAGGUUUGUCUCCACAGGAAGGGGCUUUGGCAGAUUUGUUGGCAGCGUUUCAGGUCUGUGAUAUUUCUGUGAUGAAACAAACUCGACAAGGAAACACAAAGCAGUCUGCUGGAACCAUGUUGGAGAGACAACUGAACAAACAGCUGGUUAAAGGAUUAAAG